Molecule: ribosomal RNA, 129 nt
Filed under: uncultured bacterium
Lineage: Bacteria
Description: partial 16S ribosomal RNA
Rfam family: Bacterial small subunit ribosomal RNA
Source: RNAcentral
AACCAGCCAAGUCGCGUGAGGGAAGAAGGUGCUGAGCAUUGUAAACCUCUUUUUGCCGGGGGAACAAACGCCGUCACGAGCUGGCGGUUUGAGUGUACCCGGAGAAAAAGCAUCGGCUAACUCCGUGCC